RNAcentral lists this ribosomal RNA (793 nucleotides) under uncultured archaeon. Its description in RNAcentral is "bacterial SSU rRNA". It matches the Rfam family "Archaeal small subunit ribosomal RNA", at positions 85 to 879 of the family's 1478-position model. The record is from RNAcentral.
ACUGCUCAGUAACACGUGGACAACCUGCCCUUAGGUUGGGUAUAAACCCGGGAAACUGGGUAUAAUACCCGAUAGGUCUCGAUUGCUGGAAUGCAUCGAGAUUUAAAGCUCCGGCGCCUAAGGAUGGGUCUGCGGCCUAUCAGGUAGUAGUGGGUGUAGCGUACCUACUAGCCUACGACGGGUACGGGUUGUGAGAGCAAGAGCCCGGAGAUGGAUUCUGAGACACGAAUCCAGGCCCUACGGGGUGCAGCAGGCGCGAAAACUUUACAAUGCUGGCAACAGCGAUAAGGGAACCUCGAGUGCCAGGUUACAAAUCUGGCUGUCGAGAUGCCUAAAAAGCAUUUCAUAGCAAGGGCCGGGCAAGACCGGUGCCAGCCGCCGCGGUAACACCGGCGGCUCGAGUGGUAACCGUUAUUAUUGGGUCUAAAGGGUCUGUAGCCGGCCGGAUAAGUCUCUUGAGAAAUCUGGCAGCUUAACUGUCAGGCUUUCAGGAGAUACUGUCUGGCUCGAGGCCGGGAGAGGUGAGAGGUACUUCAGGGGUAGGGGUGAAAUCUUGUAAUCCUUGAAGGACCACCAGUGGCGAAGGCGUCUCACCAGAACGGACCUGACGGCAAGGGACGAAAGCUAGGGGCACGAACCGGAUUAGAUACCCGGGUAGUCCUAGCCGCAAACGAUACUCGCUAGGUGUCGGCCACGGUGCGACCGUUGUCGGUGCCGUAGGGAAGCCGUGAAGCGAGCCACCUGGGAAGUACGGCCGCAAGGCUGAAACUUAAAGGAAUUGGCGGGGGAGCAC